RNAcentral lists this ribosomal RNA (465 nucleotides) under Vreelandella stevensii. RNAcentral's name for it is "partial 16S ribosomal RNA". It matches the Rfam family "Bacterial small subunit ribosomal RNA", at positions 338 to 795 of the family's 1533-position model. The record is from RNAcentral. Lineage: Bacteria; Pseudomonadati; Pseudomonadota; Gammaproteobacteria; Oceanospirillales; Halomonadaceae.
CCUACGGGUGACUGCAGUGGGGAAUAUUGGACAAUGGGGGGAACCCUGAUCCAGCCAUGCCGCGUGUGUGAAGAAGGCCCUCGGGUUGUAAAGCACUUUCAGUGAGGAAGAACGCCUGGUGGUUAAUACCCAUCAGGAAAGACAUCACUCACAGAAGAAGCACCGGCUAACUCCGUGCCAGCAGCCGCGGUAAUACGGAGGGUGCGAGCGUUAAUCGGAAUUACUGGGCGUAAAGCGCGCGUAGGUGGCUUGAUAAGCCGGUUGUGAAAGCCCCGGGCUCAACCUGGGAACGGCAUCCGGAACUGUCAAGCUAGAGUGCAGGAGAGGAAGGUAGAAUUCCCGGUGUAGCGGUGAAAUGCGUAGAGAUCGGGAGGAAUACCAGUGGCGAAGGCGGCCUUCUGGACUGACACUGACACUGAGGUGCGAAAGCGUGGGUAGCAAACAGGAUUAGAUACCCGAGUAGUC